RNAcentral lists this ribosomal RNA (253 nucleotides) under uncultured bacterium. RNAcentral's name for it is "partial 16S ribosomal RNA". It matches the Rfam family "Bacterial small subunit ribosomal RNA", at positions 524 to 776 of the family's 1533-position model. The record is from RNAcentral.
UACGUAGGGGGCGAGCGUUGUCCGGAUUCAUUGGGCGUAAAGCGCGCGUAGGCGGCUUCGCAAGUCGGCCGUGAAAUCUCCCGGCUCAACUGGGAGGGGUCGGGCGAGACUGCGAGGCUCGAGGUGGGCAGAGGGCAGUGGAAUUCUCGGUGUAGCGGUGAAAUGCGUAGAUAUCGAGAGGAACACCUGCGGCGAAGGCGGGUUGCUGGGCUGACACUGACGCUGAAGCGCGAAAGCUAGGGGAGCGAACGGG